CCUGUGCAGCGCCUUCCGAUCUGCGAGCCCUAGGGAGGGACCCACAGGACCCACAGGCUCAGCCGCUCCUCUGCGGUCUGCAGAGGGCAGCCAGGACCAGGCCCGGCCAGGUCUCAGUGACGGCCAAGGCCAGGGUCGGAGCCCUGCGUCAGCCCGGUGACCUCACGCUGCAAGUCUGGUCACAGCUACAGGAUCUCUCUCUGGAAAGAUGUUAUCGGACACCUGUCAUCGGAUUUGAGACCCACCCAGGGAAUCCAGGGUGGUCUCCUCAUCAUAAGCGCUGGGGACCCGGGAGCACCAAGUCCCCCUCAGACCCUGAGGCCACGUGGUGGGAGAGCAGCGGCCUCCCCAGAGGCCAGCACAAGAGGCUGUGGGUGGGGUGGGUGCCUCCAGAUGGGGCUCUCCGGAGCCCCUGGGCUCUGGUCCAGCUGUGGCCGUGGCCGAGGGCAGAUGACAGGGGGCAGACACACACAGGUGGAGGGACUGGGCCGACGGGCACCCCGUGCUGCUCCUCAGGGCAGCCUUGCUACAGGGGCCACCGCCGUCACGUGGCGCCAAGCCCAUGGGUCUGUGCUCCGUUGUCCCUUCCUGGUGCCUGGUUCCCACCCGCCAGCCCCCAUCUCUGACAGGUGCACCACCCAACAGUGAUCAGACCCAGAAUGAGAGCAUUUAAAGUGGGAGGGGUCCCAUUGUUUUAAAAUGUGGGUGUUGUAAAAGACAGCCAGUGUGGAGACAUUCGGGGCGACAGGGAAAGGGAGAGGAAGAGGAGGGCGCUGCCCGGCCCUGCUGAGUGUGCAGAGCCACCUGCCCGCUGGCCCUCGUGUGAACGCUCACGCCCCACAAGCAGACGUCAGCAGGGAAGGAAGGGACGCUCUGGGUCCAUCCCCAGACGGGGAACAAAGUGCCCAUGGACGGUGUGCACGAGCCUCACAAACAAGCUGAGUGAAGGACGCGAAGGAAAACCCACUCUGUGGGUCCACCCGAGGGACUCCCGGAGCAGGUCCUGACCAUCACAAGCUUUCCUACAUCACGGUGUUGAGCCCUGUCACGGCUCUGGAGGCACACGUACUGCUGUCAGCCCCAGUCAAAUGGGACACUGAAGCUGGAAGAAACUGGGAGACAUGGCCGAGAUCACAAAGGGAGUGUGCAGCCAGGAUCCAAAAUGGGCUUCUCUUACAUACUGACACAGGGCCAGGAGCUGGAUAUUUAAAAAAUACAGAUUCCUGAGUAAUUCCGCGAUAUCCCCAGCACUCCAGCAGCUGCUCCAUCUGGCUAUGGUUCCUGGGCAUGGUCUCCUUCGUUAGCAUGCUAAUUUAUUCUGACUCAUCAUCGCGAAGCUGGCGCACACCUCGAUGCCAGAGCACGACCUGGGGGCUGUGAUUCCCAGCUGGAACAGGAGCCCUCCCCGGGGGCUGUCACCAACGCCGGGAAUAAAGAGAACAGUUGGGGACAAGGCUUCGGCGGCAGGCUGAGCAGCUUGUAAUUUCCCCUCCGGUGGCCCUGACAUUCUGUGACAGGCUCGGGAGAGCGAGGCUGGAGACGCAGGCUCCGGGAACACUCGAGCUGCAAAGUUCUUGAGGGAGCACCAAUGCGGUUAAAACAUA
Canis lupus familiaris (dog) is the source of this 1604-nucleotide long non-coding RNA. RefSeq lists it as uncharacterized. The record is from RefSeq and is a predicted model, not a curated record. Lineage: Eukaryota; Metazoa; Chordata; Mammalia; Carnivora; Canidae. The transcript has 4 exons.